Molecule: long non-coding RNA, 594 nt
Filed under: Fukomys damarensis (Damara mole-rat)
Lineage: Eukaryota; Metazoa; Chordata; Mammalia; Rodentia; Bathyergidae
Description: lncRNA (ENSFDAG00000029832.1)
Source: RNAcentral
UGGCUGAUACUUUUUUUUUUUUGAAAGAAUGCAUAUUACAGAUACCUUCCCUUAUCCUCAGGUUUAUUUUUACAGUUUUAGUUGCCCACAGCUAACUGUGUUCCAAAAAUAUUAAAAAACAUUCUAGAAAUAAACAAUUUGUCAGUUUUAAGUUGCACGCUGGUCUCAGUGUAACAAAAUCAGUAUUGUGACAAAAUGUUCCAUUCCAUCCCCUUUGUCCAUUAUAUCUGUGCUGUACCUACUACCUUUUGGUCACUUAGUAGCCAACUCAGUGAUGAGAUCAGCCAUCAUGAUAUUGUAGUGCUUGUAUUCAGCUCCGUUGAGGGCCAAAGACUGGGAUACAGGUCUGAUCAAUGACUUGGAAGUAAAUUCCUAAACCCUACAGUGUCGCUGUGAUUCCUGUUAAGAAAUGGUGAGAAUUACGAGGAAUUGCUUCUGAAUUGUGUUGGGCUGUUGGCAUAGUGAAGAGAACACAGGAUUGGUUUAGGAAGGAAAUAAACAAGGAAGGAGAAGGAAGAAAAUGAACUAUGUUAGAAACCUCACACUCUGCUUUGAAAUAUGUGACAGCCAUUAGAAGAGGAACAGAUGGAGAAC